Molecule: ribosomal RNA, 483 nt
Filed under: uncultured bacterium
Lineage: Bacteria
Description: partial 16S ribosomal RNA
Rfam family: Bacterial small subunit ribosomal RNA
Source: RNAcentral
GACGAACGCUGGCGGCGUGCCUAACACAUGCAAGUCGAACGGGCAGUAAGAUUUCGGUUUUACUGCUAGUGGCGAACGGGUGAGUAACGCGUGAACAACCUGUCCUUCUGAGGGGGAUAACACCUGGAAACAAGUGCUAAUACCGCAUAAGACCACAGAGCCGCAUGGUUCAGGGGUCAAAGGAGCAAUCCGCAGAAGGAGGGGUUCGCGUCCCAUUAGGUAGUAGGCGGGGUAACGGCCCACCUAGCCAACGAUGGGUAGCCGAGCUGAGAGGCUGAUCGGCCACACUGGAACUGAGACACGGGCCAGACGCCUACGGGGGGCAGCAGUGGGGAAUAUUGGGCAAUGGGCGAAAGCCUGACCCAGCAGCGCCGCGGGAGGGAAGAAGGUCUUCGGAUUGUAAACCUCUGUCCUUGGUGACGAAGGAAGUGACGGUAGCCAAGGAGGAAGCCCCGGCUAACUACGUGCCAGCAGCCGCCGUAA